GGCGAACGCUGGCGGCGUGCUUAACACAUGCAAGUCGAACGGAAAGGCCCCUUUGGGGGUCCUCGAGUGGCGAACGGGUGCGUAACACGUGAGUAACCUGCCCUUGACUUCGGGAUAACUUCAGGAAACUGGGGCUAAUACCGGAUAGGAAUCCUUGCUGCAUGGUGGGGGUUGGAAAGCUUCGGCGGUUUUGGAUGGACUCGCGGCUUAUCAGCUUGUUGGUGGGGUAGUGGCUUACCAAGGCUUUGACGGGUAGCCGGCCUGAGAGGGCGACCGGCCACAGUGGGACUGAGAUACGGCCCAGACGCCUACGGGAGGCAGCAGGGGGGAAUAUUGCACAAGGGGCGGAAGCCUGAUGCAGCAACGCCUCGUGCGGGAUGACGGUCUUCGGGUUGUAAACCGCUUUCAGCAGGGGCGAAGCUUGUGGUGACGGUACCUGCAGAAGAAGCACCGGCUAACUACGUG
Molecule: ribosomal RNA, 465 nt
Filed under: uncultured bacterium
Lineage: Bacteria
Description: partial 16S ribosomal RNA
Rfam family: Bacterial small subunit ribosomal RNA
Source: RNAcentral